Molecule: long non-coding RNA, 1319 nt
Filed under: Homo sapiens (human)
Lineage: Eukaryota; Metazoa; Chordata; Mammalia; Primates; Hominidae
Description: HSALNT0055270
Source: RNAcentral
CAUGCUAGGCUGUUUUUGUAGACAGGUUGUGGCUUACAGAAUUCUGAUAGGUGAAAUCGUGUUGAGAACCCUGACUCCAGGAAUCACUGAGCUGCUUCCCUGAAACCAAAAUAGCAGCCCUGGGAUGGAGACAAAGACUCUAACUGGGCAUAUUUCCUUGAACAAUUAUGACUUCAAACCGGAGCAGUGACCCAUCUUCUCAACAAGUGUUUCUCAGAUGUUCCAUUGAAAGUCUACAUUUUUCUUGAUUUCUCCCUUCUCUGUUUCAUUUCUCUUCCUCCUUUAGACUCGUCCCAAAUUCUGCCAGGGAAUUCCCCUCUGCCCUGUCUCUCCACCAAUAUCCAUUUUUCAUUAUCAAGGAGUACAGAGGACAUUCUUUUCUCUUCUGCCUGGUUCUCCCAAACGCCCAGCAGUGUGUUACCAAAUCUACGUAGCAGAAUGUUACAUUGGAAGUUUUAGUUGAGGCACCAAGAUUCAAGACAGACCAGAUUCCAAAGGAGGUACCAUAAGCAAAAUUUUCAAAGAACUUGUCUAGAACGUGGUUUCCCGACUUUUAAAUCCCUUGCCUCCAAUGAGGCUAUAAAAGGACUGGGUGGUUAGAAAAUUGGGAGAGGGUAUUUUUGGAGAGAGCUGUUGGCGUGCUACAAGUCCUCACCCACCUUCCACGGAGAAGGACUAAGGCUUGGGCCCAGCAGCACGUUAAAGGAGAACCUGGUGCAUAUUUUCCACAGCCAAGGACCCGAUAGACUAGGAUCUGACAAUUGCUUGAGCAAUUGAGUAGGUGGGAGUUAAAUAGAGAUGGCAGCUGGGGAUUGGUCUCCAUUUCCAGAAUAUGUCCAGGUAACAAAAGCAUGAGACUUUACUAGGAAUAAGAUGUGGAUUAUGUGGGGCUGAAGGUGGAAGGCUGACCUAGAGCCGUUUUAACUCCUUCCCAGUAGCCUACCAGAAAUGGCUAAGGAAAUCAAAGUGAGAGGCCAUGUAGACAGGAUUGCAAAAACCUGAGGGCUGAAGGUGAAGCGACAGCCUGAGGAAUAAAGUGCAUUGCUCAUGGCUCAAGGAGCUGCUUUAGACUGAAUGUUUGUGUCCCUGGAAAAUUCAUAUGUUGAAACCUAAUUCCCAAUGUGAUGGUAUUUGGAAUUGGGUCUUUCAGAAGUGAUUAGGGGCCUGGACGCAGUGGCUCGUGCCUGCAAUCCCAGCACUUUGGGAGGCAGAGGUGGGCGGAUCACCUGAAGUCAGGAGUUCAAGACCAGCCGGGCCAACGUGGUGAAACCCCGUCUCUACUAAAAAUACACACACAUACACAGCCAGGUGUGGUGGCC